This 253-nucleotide ribosomal RNA is filed under the name uncultured bacterium. RNAcentral describes it as "partial 16S ribosomal RNA". It matches the Rfam family "Bacterial small subunit ribosomal RNA", at positions 524 to 776 of the family's 1533-position model. The record is from RNAcentral.
UACAGAGGUCUCAAGCGUUGUUCGGAAUUACUGGGCGUAAAGGGUGCGCAGGCCGCGCGGACAGUCAAAUGUGAAAUUCAGGGGCUCAACCCCUGCAUUGCGCUUGAUACUUCCGCGCUCGAGCCUUGGAAAGGAGUCUGGAAUUCUCGGUGUAGCAGUGAAGUGCGUAGAUAUCGAGAGGAACACUAAGGGCGAAGGCAAGACUCUGGACAAGUGCUGACGCUCAUGCACGAAGGCUAGGGUAGCGAACGGG